Molecule: long non-coding RNA, 399 nt
Organism: Rosa chinensis
Lineage: Eukaryota; Viridiplantae; Streptophyta; Magnoliopsida; Rosales; Rosaceae
Exons: 3
Source: RefSeq, a predicted model, not a curated record
CUGCAAUAGCAUAUGAUCUAGCUGCAACAGAAAACUAAAAUAUGCCAAGUCCUCCUCCAGUCAUCACCUUGGUUUGGUUUUACGUCCAUUAUUUCAGUUCUUGGAGAAAUUGGCAUAUAUAUCUUUUGUUUAGCAUUUUACUAAAUUUGAAUUGAUGCUUAUUUUGCAGUCAGUAAUAUGGAAGAAAGAACUUCAAGACACGAUGAAAAAGAAAAGAGAAAGAUACUUGUUUUCUAUAUGAAUUUAUGUUCAGCUUGUAUGCAAGGAUAUCCAUGGGGUAACUUGGGUUGAUGACAACAAGGCAACAAAUGUAGAAGCUACAUACACAGGACUAAUGGGUCUAAAGAGGCAAAAGUCUGUGAUCCUACUUGGCGGCCUUGCAAAGAUUUGUGUUCUUUG